UUUCGUUUUAGGAACGGUGCCGCAGUCCAUGGAAGCGCUUUCAUCGCUGUUUCAACGCAUUUAUUAAAACAAAUCAAAGGAAGGCCUCAGGGGCUUCGUCGCUUAAGAGAGGCUGUGCGCUCUCCCUUAUGCCCUGCUGGCAACCAUAAGCGCUUACGCCGCGCAUAAGAACCAGCCCUCUUAAGAACAAGGCACAAAAAGGAAGAUGCGAGGCUGGUCGCUCUGACGUUCUUUUAUGCUUUCUACUUGCGGUUGCUUUCGCUAAUGCACUUGAAUAACUGACCUGCCAUAACGAUCGCGGCGCACAGUUUUUACAUUCCCUUUUGCAUA
Long non-coding RNA from Drosophila miranda, 330 nucleotides. RefSeq lists it as uncharacterized. The transcript has 2 exons. Lineage: Eukaryota; Metazoa; Arthropoda; Insecta; Diptera; Drosophilidae. The record is from RefSeq and is a predicted model, not a curated record.